AAUGAACGCUGGCGGCAGGCCUAAGACAUGCAAGUCGAACGCCUGUAGCAAUACAGGAGUGGCGCACGGGUGCGUAACACGUGGGAAUAUGCCUAUUGGUACGGAACAGCUCCGGGAAACUGGAAUUAAUACCGUAUGGUCCCUUCGGGGUAAAGAUUUAUCGCCAAUAGAUUAGCCCGCGGUGGAUUAGCUAGUUGGUAGGGUAAUGGCCUACCAAGGCGACGAUCCAUAGCUGGUCUGAGAGGACGAUCAGCCACACUGGGACUGAGACACGGCCCAGACUCCUACGGGAGGCAGCAGUUAGGAAUAUUGGACAAUGGGCGCAAGCCUGAUCCAGCCAUGCCGCGUGAGUGAUGAAGGCCUUCGGGUUGUAAAACUCUUUAGCCGAUGAAUAUAAUGACUGUAGUCGGAAAAUAAGCCCCGGCUAACUUCGUGCCAGCAGCCGCAGUAA
Molecule: ribosomal RNA, 451 nt
Filed under: uncultured bacterium
Lineage: Bacteria
Description: partial 16S ribosomal RNA
Rfam family: Bacterial small subunit ribosomal RNA
Source: RNAcentral